AAUAGAUACCCGGGUAGUCCAUGCCGUAAACGUUGGGCGCUAGAUGUGGGGACCAUUCCACGGUUUCCGUGUCGCAGCUAACGCAUUAAGCGCCCCGCCUGGGGAGUACGGCCGCAAGGCUAAAAACUCAAAGGAAUUGACGGGGGCCCGCACAAGCGGCGGAGCAUGCGGAUUAAUUCGAUGCAACGCGAAGAACCUUACCAAGGCUUGACAUAUACGAGAACGCUCUAGAAACUAGAGAACUCUUUGGACACUCGUAUACAGGUGGUGCAUGGUUGUCGUCAGCUCGUGUCGUGAGAUGUUGGGUUAAGUCCCGCAACGAGCGCAACCCUCGUUCUAUGUUGCCAGCGGUUCGGCCGGGAACUCAUAGGAGACUGCCGGGGUCAACUCGGAGGAAGGUGGGGAUGACGUCAAAUCAUCAUGCCCCUUAUGUCUUGGGCUUCACGCAUGCUACAAUGGCCGGUACAAAGGGCUGCAAUACCGUAAGGUGGAGCGAAUCCCAAAAAGCCGGUCUCAGUUCGGAUUGAGGUCUGC
Molecule: ribosomal RNA, 534 nt
Filed under: uncultured bacterium
Lineage: Bacteria
Description: bacterial SSU rRNA
Rfam family: Bacterial small subunit ribosomal RNA
Source: RNAcentral